GGCUCAGGAUGAACGCUGGCGGCGUGCUUAACACAUGCAAGUCGAACGAAGCAAUUUUCUACGAUCCCUUCGGGGUGACGGAUUAUUGACUGAGUGGCGGACGGGUGAGUAACGCGUGGGUAACCUACCUUGUACAGGGGGACAACAGUUGGAAACGACUGCUAAUACCGCAUAAGCGCACAGCAUCGCAUGAUGCAGUGUGAAAAGUUUUUUCGGUACAAGAUGGACCCGCGUCUGAUUAGCUAGUUGGUGAGGUAACGGCCCACCAAGGCGACGAUCAGUAGCCGACCUGAGAGGGUGACCGGCCACAUUGGGACUGAGACACGGCCCAAACUCCUACGGGAGGCAGCAGUGGGGAAUAUUGCACAAUGGGCGAAAGCCUGAUGCAGCGACGCCGCGUGAGCGAAGAAGUAUUUCGGUAUGUAAAGCUCUAUCAGCAGGGAAGAUAAUGACGGUACCUGACUAAGAAGCACCGGCUAAAUACGUGCCAGCAGCCGCGGUAAUACGUAUGGUGCAAGCGUUAUCCGGAUUUACUGGGUGUAAAGGGAGCGUAGGCGGUUUUACAAGUCUGAUGUGAAAGCCCGGGGCUCAACUCCGGUAUUGCAUUGGAAACUGUAGAACUAGAGUGUCGGAGGGGUAAGUGGAAUUCCUAGUGUAGCGGUGAAAUGCGUAGAUAUUAGGAGGAACACCAGUGGCGAAGGCGGCUUAC
This 709-nucleotide ribosomal RNA is filed under the name Pseudobutyrivibrio sp. P15. Its description in RNAcentral is "bacterial SSU rRNA". It matches the Rfam family "Bacterial small subunit ribosomal RNA", at positions 21 to 729 of the family's 1533-position model. Lineage: Bacteria; Bacillati; Bacillota; Clostridia; Lachnospirales; Lachnospiraceae. The record is from RNAcentral.